GACGUCUUCCUUAAAACCUCUCCUUGCACCAAAACCAAACACCAAGCUAAUGCCAUCGAUAGGACCUCAGUAUUUGCAAAACGAAACAAAACCCAAAACUGUACAACCUAUACCUAUAAAGGAUUCACCAAGUCGGAGAGAACCGCCAUCCCUCGUCUAGAGGGCAAGGGAAAGUCACCGGAAAUGCUCGACUACAAUCCGAGAGAAGGAAAAAGGAGUUUUCCUUCAGAGAAAAUUUC
RNAcentral lists this unclassified non-coding RNA (239 nucleotides) under Hevea brasiliensis (rubber tree). Lineage: Eukaryota; Viridiplantae; Streptophyta; Magnoliopsida; Malpighiales; Euphorbiaceae. The record is from RNAcentral.